Molecule: long non-coding RNA, 2998 nt
Organism: Mytilus californianus (California mussel)
Lineage: Eukaryota; Metazoa; Mollusca; Bivalvia; Mytilida; Mytilidae
Exons: 3
Source: RefSeq, a predicted model, not a curated record
AAGUCAACAUUUUUUGUAAUGUUAAUUUCUUUCUUAUUAUGAGUAAUAGGAUAACUAUAUUUAGUAUGUGCGUACCUUGCAAGGUCUUCAUGCCCGUCAGACAAUUUUCAUUUGACCUCAACCUCAUUUCAUGGAUCAGUGAACAAGGUUAAGUUUUCGUGGUCAAGUCCAUAUAUCAGGUACUAUAAGCAGUAGGUCUACUAUAUUUGGUAUAUGGAAUGAUUGUAAGGUGUACAUGUCCAACUGGUAGGUGUCAUCUGACCUUGACCUCAUUUUCAUGGUUCAGUAGUCAAAGUUAAGUUUUUGAGUUUUGGUCUUUUUUUCUAAUACUAUAUGCAAUAGGUCAACUAUAAAUGGUGUAUGGAAAUAUUUUAUGAUGUACAUGUCAGUCUCACAGGUUUUAUUUGACCAUGACCUCAUUUUCACGGUUCAUUUCUCAGUGUUAAGUUUUUGUCGAGCCUGCGACUUUUGUCGAAGAAAGCUCGACAUAGGGAUAGUGAUCCGGCGGCGGCGGCGUUAGCUAACUUCUUAAAAGCUUUAUAUUUUAGAAGGUGGAAGGUCUGGAUGCUUCAUACUUUGUAUAUGGAUGCCUCAUGUUACGAAGUUUCUGUCAGUCACAUGUCCAAUGUCCUUGACCUCAUUUUCAUGGUUCAGUGACUACUUGAAAAAAAAGUUAAGAUUUUUUGUAAUGUUAGAUUGUCUCUUAUUAUAAGUAAUAGGAUAACUAUAUUUGGUAUGUGCGUACCUUGCAAGGUCCUCAUGCCCGUCAGACAGUUUUCACUUGACCUCAACCUCAUUUCAUGGAUCAGUGAACAAGGUUAAGUUUUGGUGGUCAAGUCCAUAUCUCAGAUACUAUGAGCAAUAGGUCUAGUAUAUUCGGUGUAUGGAAGGACUGUAAGGUGUACAUGUCCAACUGGCAGGUGUCAUCUGACCUUGACCUCAUUUUCAUGGUUCAGUGGUUAUAGUUAAGUUUUUGUGUAUUGGUCUGUUUUUCUUAUACUGUAUGCCAUAGGUCUACUAUAUUUGGUGAAUGGAAUGAUUGUAAGGUGUACAUGUCUAGCGGGCAGGUGUCAUCUGACCUUGACCUCAUUUUCAUGGUUCAGUGGUUAUAGUUAAGUUUUUGUGUAUUGGUCUGUUUUUCUUAUACUGUAUGCCAUAGGUCUACUAUAUUUGGUGUAUGGAAUGAUUGUAAGGUGUACAUGUCUAGCGGGCAGGUGUCAUCCGACCUUGACCUCAUUUUCAUGGUUCAGUGGUCAAAGUUAAGUUUUUGAGUUUUGGUCUUUUUUUCUAAUACUAUAUGCAAUAGUUCAACUAUAUUUCGUAUGUGCGUACCUUGCAAGGUCCUCAUGCCCGUCAGACAGUUUUCACUUGACCUCAACCUCAUUUCAUGGAUCAGUGAACAAGGUUAAGUUUUAGUGGUCAAGUCCAUAUCUCAGAUACUAUGAGCAAUAGGUCUAGUAUAUUCGGUGUAUGGAAGGACUGUAAGGUGUACAUGUCCAACUGGCAGGUGUCAUCUGACCUUGACCUCAUUUUCAUGGUUCAGUGGUUAUAGUUAAGUUUUUGUGUAUUGGUCUGUUUUUCUUAUACUGUAUGCCAUAGGUCUACUAUAUUUGGUGUAUGGAAUGAUUGUAAGGUGUACAUGUCUAGCGGGCAGGUGUCAUCCGACCUUGACCUCAUUUUCAUGGUUCAGUGGUCAAAGUUAAGUUUUUGAGUUUUGGUCUUUUUUUCUAAUACUAUAUGCAAUAGUUCAACUAUAUUUCGUAUGUGCGUACCUUGCAAGGUCCUCAUGCCCGUCAGACAGUUUUCACUUGACCUCAACCUCAUUUCAUGGAUCAGUGAACAAGGUUAAGUUUUGGUGGUCAAGUCCAUAUCUCAGAUACUAUGAGCAAUAGGUCUAGUAUAUUCGGUGUAUGGAAGGACUGUAAGGUGUACAUGUCCAACUGGCAGGUGUCAUCUGACCUUGACCUCAUUUUCAUGGUUCAGUGGUUAUAGUUAAGUUUUUGUGUAUUGGUCUGUUUUUCUUAUACUGUAUGCCAUAGGUCUACUAUAUUUGGUGAAUGGAAUGAUUGUAAGGUGUACAUGUCUAGCGGGCAGGUGUCAUCCGACCUUGACCUCAUUUUCAUGGUUCAGUGGUCAAAGUUAAGUUUUUGAGUUUUGGUCUUUUUUUCUAAUACUAUAUGCAAUAGUUCAACUAUAUUUGGUAUGUGCGUACCUUGCAAGGUCCUCAUGCCCGUCAGACAGUUUUCACUUGACCUCAACCUCAUUUCAUGGAUCAGUGAACAAGGUUAAGUUUUAGUGGUCAAGUCCAUAUCUCAGAUACUAUAAGCAAUAGGUCUAGUAUAUUCGGUGUAUGGAAGGACUGUAAGGUGUACAUGUCCAACUGGCAGGUGUCAUCUGACCUUGACCUCAUUUUCAUGGUUCAGUGGUUAUAGUUAAGUUUUGGUGUUUUGGUCUGUUUUUCUUAUACUGUAUGCCAUAGGUCUACUAUAUUUGGUGUAUGGAAUGAUUGUAAGGUGUACAUGUCUAGCUUGCAGGUGUCAUCCGACCUUGACCUCAUUUUCAUGGUUCAGUGGUCAAAGUUAAGUUUUUUGAGUUUUGGUCUUUUUUUCUAAUACUUUAUGCAAUAGUUCAACUAUAUUUGGGGUAUGGAAAUAUUUUAUGAUCUAUUUGGCAGUCAUGCAGGUUUUAUUUGACCUUGACCUCAUUUUCAAGGUUCAUUGCUCAGUGUUAAGUUUUUGUGUUUUGGUCUGUUUUUCUUAAACUAUAAGCAAUAGGUCAACUAUAUUUGUUGUAUGGAAGAAUUGUUAGCUGUACAUGCCUGUCUAGCAUGGUUCAUCAGACCUUGACCUCAAUUUCAUGGUUCAUUGGUCAAUGUUUAGUUUACUUGGUUAAUGUUAAGUUUAUGUGACAGUUGUAAUAAAGCUUUAUAUUUAGGACUAUCAACAUAAUAUCAAUGAUUAGUAAAGAAGGCGAGACAUUUCAGCGCGUGCACUCUUGU